Molecule: ribosomal RNA, 1155 nt
Filed under: Triticum aestivum (bread wheat)
Lineage: Eukaryota; Viridiplantae; Streptophyta; Magnoliopsida; Poales; Poaceae
Description: partial small subunit ribosomal RNA
Source: RNAcentral
AUGUUUAUCCGCCGUAGAUGGAGAAGAGACAUCCAGAAGAAACUGAGAAGGAAGUAUUAUACAAAGAAUCAUGGCCUCCUUCUGGAACAAUUAAUAUUAUCGAGUGAAGCUGCAGGUGAAACAACAAGGAUUUUCUCGCUGGAGGAGUUAGAUCAGGCAACAAACAACUUUGAUCACACACGGAUCCUUGGCCGUGGAGGGCAUGGCAUGGUCUACAAAGGCAUCUUAUCUGAUCAGCAUGUGGUGGCUAUAAAGAAAUCUAAGGUCAUUGAGCAAGUUGAGAUUGAGCAAUUCAAUGAGGUUGUCAUCCUUUCACAGAUUAACCACAGAAAUAUCGUAAAGCUUUAUGGCUGUUGCCUUGAAAGUGAGGUCCCACUAUUAGUGUAUGAUUUUGUUCCUAAUGGUUCCUUGUUUGAAAUCCUUCAUUCUGGUCCAAGCAACGGUUUUACUUUGUCCUGGGAUGGUUGCCUAAGAAUUGCUGCACAGGCUGCAGGUGCUCUCUAUUAUCUCCACUCCGCAGCGUCCAUAUCAGUCUUCCACCGUGAUGUCAAGUCUUCUAAUAUACUCCUAGAUGCAAACUACACUGCAAAAGUUGCUGACUUUGGUGCGUCAAGAUUGGUGCAUAUAGACCAGACUCAUGUUACAACACAUGUACAAGGCACAUUUGGGUACUUGGAUCCGGAGUAUUUUCGCACUGGGCAUCUAACUGAAAAGAGCGAUGUGUACAGCUUCGGUGUCAUGCUUUUAGAGCUACUUCUCAGAAGGAAGCCUGUUUUUACUGGUGAGUCAGGCUUAGCCCAGAGUUUAUCUUGUUACUUUCUUGCGGAGAUGCAGAAGAGGCCUAUAAGAGAGAUAGUCGCUGCUCAAGUUCGUGAAGAAGCAACCGAGGAAGAAAUUUUCAGUGUUGCCUCUCUCGCAGAGAAGUGCCUACGUAUCCAAGGUGAAGAAAGGCCUACGAUGAAGGAAGUAGAGAUGUCUUUGCAGGUUCUGCAUAAGAAACAUUCGAUGUCAUCCCAUGUCACUCGAGAAAAUGGUAGAGCUGAAGCUGAUGUUUCAUCUCACUCAGCUAACGGAGUUGAUCCAGUCACCACAAACAACCAAAGAUGUUAUAGCUUGGAGCGAGAGUUCAUAUCAUCUGCCAGCUUACCACGCUAA